CACCCGGGCAAUGACCCCCCCCCCCUUCCUGUGGGAGCGGAUGUCACCGAGAUAACAACUCCCUCCACAGUGGGAGCUGAUGAUGUCACUGGGGCACUGACUGCCUCCACGCGGGAGCCGAUGAUGUCACUGGGGCACUGACUCCGAUGAUGUCACUGGGGCACUGACUGCAGUCCAGAACACAGGAAGGAAUCAAGUGGAGCCAUGUCCAUAAUGGCCUCUUCCAUAUGUCUUGGGGCCUGUGGGGGGAAGGACUCCACAAUGGACCCCCAUUUCUCAUACACGGGAGGUCUGGACGGUGGGAGCCAGUGUCAGUCACCUCCAUCUUAAGGCAAAAGGUUUGUGAGGGGAGGUGGGGAUUCAUGUCCAGCAGCAGAAAUAAAUAGGAGCGGGGCGUCCAGCAUGCACAGGUCCAGUCAUUAUGGCCAUGGACACUGGAGGGCCAAUGUCACAGCCACAGGCAGAGGAGCCGUUAAACGAUGGCCCUCCCCCAACACGAUGAACCAUACAAAUUA
Molecule: long non-coding RNA, 515 nt
Organism: Bufo bufo (common toad)
Lineage: Eukaryota; Metazoa; Chordata; Amphibia; Anura; Bufonidae
Exons: 2
Source: RefSeq, a predicted model, not a curated record